Molecule: ribosomal RNA, 402 nt
Filed under: uncultured bacterium
Lineage: Bacteria
Description: bacterial SSU rRNA
Rfam family: Bacterial small subunit ribosomal RNA
Source: RNAcentral
UGAGGAAUCUUCCACAAUGGACGAAAGUCUGAUGGAGCAACUCCGCGUGCAGGAUGAAGGCCCUCGGGUCGUAAACUGCUUUUAUGAGUGAAGAAUAUGACGGUAACUCAUGAAUAAGGGUCGGCUAACUACGUGCCAGCAGCCGCGGUCAUACGUAGGACCCAAGUGUUAUCCGGAGUGACUGGGCGUAAAGAGUUGCGUAGGCGGCGGACAAAGCGAAUGGUGAAACCUGGUGGCUCAACCACUAGACUAUUAUUCGAACUCGUCUGCUCGAGAGUAAGAGAGGUACCUGGAAUUUCUAGUGUAGGAGUGAAAUCCGUAGAUAUUAGAAGGAACACCAAUGGCGUAAGCAGGGUACUGGCUUAUUUCUGACGCUAAGGCACGAAAGCGUGGGGAGCGAAC